CACCGCGGUCAUACGAGUGUUGCCCAAGUAGACAGUCUACGGCGUAAAGCGUGGUUAGGGGCCCCUUAAAACUAGAGCAGAACUGCCUCCUGGCUGUUAUACGCACCCGAGAGCAAGAACCCAUAGCACGAAAGUCGCUCUAACCUAACCUGAAUCCACGAAAGCUGGGAAA
RNAcentral lists this ribosomal RNA (172 nucleotides) under Lampanyctus reinhardti. RNAcentral describes it as "partial 12S rRNA". The record is from RNAcentral. Lineage: Eukaryota; Metazoa; Chordata; Actinopteri; Myctophiformes; Myctophidae.